This is a long non-coding RNA of Diospyros lotus (date-plum), 1194 nucleotides long. RefSeq lists it as uncharacterized. The record is from RefSeq and is a predicted model, not a curated record. The transcript has 3 exons. Lineage: Eukaryota; Viridiplantae; Streptophyta; Magnoliopsida; Ericales; Ebenaceae.
AGAGAGCCGAGAGAGAGAGGAGAUCGAGAGAUUGCGAGAAAGAGAUGAUUGCGAGAGAUGGAUGGCCGAGGGCUGACCGAUAUGGUCAAUUGCAGCGCCCAGCGACGGUGGCCGCGUGCUGGCUGGAGCCGAGCAGAGGCAGGCAUAGCGGUUGUGGCAUUGGGGGUGCUUCUAACAGAGAGGAAGGCGGUCGCUGGCGGUCGCAGCGUGCAGAGGUUGAUACGACGCCUGAGUUGGUAGCCGGCCACUACUGAAGCGACGUCAAUGGCGGCUUGAAGAAGCCGCGGCCAUGGCCGCGGUGCUGGAGCUCGGGAUGAGCAAUGGAGACCGAGAUAGAAGCGGUCGGUGGUGGUCGCUCAAGCAGCGGCUGAGGCAGCAACCGGCAUCGACUGAAGGAAGAAGCGGCGAAGGCCGGUGACGCCGCACCAACAGCAGGGCGCCAGGGGCUGCUCGCGGCGGUGGCUGCUCGCGAUGAUGGCAGCCGGCUGGCUGCCGCGCGACGGUCGAAGGCGGCCUACCGGAGGUCAGAGGCAAGCGGCGGCAGUACGAGCGGAGACCCGGCGGUGGCGGCGGCCAGCGGUUGGCGCACACAGGUGCUGGUCAUGCGAAGAAGGAGAAGAAGCCGUGAAGAAGAUGAACAGGGGGAGGGAAAAGAAAAAUAAAGAAAAAAGAAAAUUAGAAAAGAAAAUAAAAGGAAAAUCUGGAAAAUGGGAAAAAAUAGAAAUAAAUUCUAGAAAAUUCUAGAAAAAUUCUAGAAAUUAUUUUGAGGCUUGAGGAGUGUGUCGGAAGCUCGAGAAUAGGAUUUCGGGCAUGAGAUGACAGCUCGGGAAGCAGCGUCGGCGUGGGCGAUUGGUCGAUUUUUCCUUCCAAUUGAAUGAGGUUCGACCGGAGGGACGGUGAUCCUAGCAGAACUUGAAAUUCAAGCUGGAAUUCGUGCCGAGACAGAGAUGAAGCUUCGAGCCAGAUGUUGCAAGUCCGAAUGCAAGCAAGGAUGGUGUCGGGAGACUAUAGUGGCGACUAGCAUCGUUGCCCAAGAUGUGUGGAUGUGUACUCUCCUGUAUUUUCAUUCUUGUAUUUAUGUGAUUGAAUGUAAACGAUAUUGAGCACUAGAUGUGUUUAAUUGUUGUAAUCAUUAUAGUGUGAUAAAUGAUUGUGAGAUUAUUCGUUGUCUAUGGCUUAGUUGGAGAGGCCGAG